AACGUAGGCCACAAGCGUUGUCCGGAAUUACUGGGUGUAAAGGGAGCGCAGGCGGGAAGACAAGUUGGAAGUGAAAUCUAUGGGCUCAACCCAUAAACUGCUUUCAAAACUGUUUUUCUUGAGUAGUGCAGAGGUAGGCGGAAUUCCCGGUGUAGCGGUGGAAUGCGUAGAUAUCGGGAGGAACACCAGUGGCGAAGGCGGCCUACUGGGCACCAACUGACGCUGAGGCUCGAAAGUGUGGGUAGCAAACAGG
This 253-nucleotide ribosomal RNA is filed under the name Faecalibacterium prausnitzii. RNAcentral describes it as "partial 16S ribosomal RNA". It matches the Rfam family "Bacterial small subunit ribosomal RNA", at positions 524 to 776 of the family's 1533-position model. The record is from RNAcentral. Lineage: Bacteria; Bacillati; Bacillota; Clostridia; Eubacteriales; Oscillospiraceae.